RNAcentral lists this ribosomal RNA (504 nucleotides) under uncultured bacterium. RNAcentral describes it as "partial 16S ribosomal RNA". It matches the Rfam family "Bacterial small subunit ribosomal RNA", at positions 28 to 507 of the family's 1533-position model. The record is from RNAcentral.
GACGAACGCUGGCGGCGUGCCUAAUACAUGCAAGUAGAACGCACAGUUUAUACCGUAGCUUGCUACACCAUAAACUGUGAGUUGCGAACGGGUGAGUAACGCGUAGGUAACCUGCCUGGUAGCGGGGAUAACUAUUGGAAACGAUAGCUAAUACCGCAUAAUAUUGAUUAUUGCAUGAUAAUUGAUUGAAAGAUGCUAUUGCAUCACUACCAGAUGGACCUGCGUUGUAUUAGCUAGUAGGUGAGGUAACGGCUCACCUAGGCGACGAUACAUAGCCGACCUGAGAGGGUGAUCGGCCACACUGGGACUGAGACACGGCCCAGACUCCUACGGGAGGCAGCAGUAGGGAAUCUUCGGCAAUGGACGAAAGUCUGACCGAGCAACGCCGCGUGAGUGAAGAAGGUUUUCGGAUCGUAAAGCUCUGUUGUAAGAGAAGAACGGGUGUGAGAGUGGAAAGUUCACACUGUGACGGUAUCUGACCAGAAAGGGACGGCUAACUACGUG